Molecule: ribosomal RNA, 216 nt
Filed under: Glomeromycotina sp.
Lineage: Eukaryota; Fungi; Glomeromycota
Description: partial small subunit ribosomal RNA
Rfam family: Eukaryotic small subunit ribosomal RNA (bases 92-216)
Source: RNAcentral
GAACUGGGACCGUGGUCCGCCUUCACGGUGUGUACUGCUGGACCGGGUUCUACCUCUUGGUGAGCCGGCAUGCCCUUCACUGGGUGUGUCGGGGAACCAGGACUUUUACCUUGAGAAAAUUAGAGUGUUCAAAGCAGGCCUACGCCCGAAUACAUUAGCAUGGCAUAAUAAAAUAGGACGUGCGGUUCUAUUUUGUUGGUUUCUAGGAUCACCGUA